This 361-nucleotide ribosomal RNA is filed under the name uncultured bacterium. RNAcentral's name for it is "partial 16S ribosomal RNA". It matches the Rfam family "Bacterial small subunit ribosomal RNA", at positions 338 to 697 of the family's 1533-position model. The record is from RNAcentral.
CCUACGGGAGGCAGCAGUGAGGAAUAUUGGUCAAUGGGCGCAAGUCUGAACCAGCCAAGCCGCGUGAGGGAAGAAGGCACUGCGUAUUGUAAACCUCUUGGGUAAGGGGGAAAAGGCGGGGACGAGUCUCCGGCUGAGGGUACCUGAAGAAAAAGCAUCGGCUAACUCCGUGCCAGCAGCCGCGGUAAUACGGAGGAUGCGAGCGUUAUCCGGAUUUAUUGGGUUUAAAGGGUGCGCAGGCGGCCGGUUAAGUUAGCGGUAAAAGCCCAGGGCUCAACUCCGGAGAGCCGUUGAUACUGGCGGGCUGGAGUUGAAGGGCAGUAGGCGGAAUGUGUGGUGUAGCGGUGAAAUGCUUAGAGAU